GACGAAGAUCACCGCGGUUAGGAGGGGAAGAUCGCCGUGGUUAGUAUUUUAAUGUUCUCAUAAUUUCGCUACUGCCCCAAUUUUUUAUUUUCCUUUUCUUUUGUUUUUGGUUUCAAUCGAUCUAGGUUAAGCAAGUUUUGCAAGGAUUUCUCACUUGAUUUAGAUUUUUAUUCACAAGGUUCUGAAGAUUUUCUUUUGGAUCAGCAGUUCUUCCGAUGAAGUGAGAGCUUCGUUACUUUUUUUUCUUCUUUGUGAAGUUGUUGCUCUUCUGGUCCUCGGUGUUCUCCGAUUCCGGCUUCUUUCUUCGGUGGAGUGAGAGCUUGGAACCCUAGGAUCGUCAGAUCGGACGGCGGAUCGGCCCAGAAAAUAGAGGUGAGAACCGUUUCUUGGAUAGGAGAGGUGGAAGCUCCUGGAAUUAGCUGGAUCUCUCUCAUUGCCGAAAGCAAUUCCAUUUACUUGGAUCUUAAAUAAGAUUAUCAUCUACCUCAUGUUUGUGAAUGUCUGCACUGUAAUACUAAUUUGGUAAAAGGUGUGCUUUUUGGCUGGCGCUGUUUGGAAUUUUCUGAGAUUUGGUAGCAUGAGCACAAGACGGGGUUUUAAUUUCCAUUUGAUAUUAUUUAAGUGUCAUACGGUAUUUUCUUGAGCAUACUGCUACCCCAAGGACAGCACUAAAUCCUUUAGCUGACCUAUCAACUAUGUGAGAACAUUAUCUGUUGUUUGAUUUGAAGUACUGGUUUGUUUAUUCCUUGAGAGCAGAGAUCAAUGAAAUUCCAUACCGCCUUGUGGUUGCUGGUCGAUUUUUCUUCAACAUGCGUGGUCUUUGAAACUUGUAUUUGUGGAGG
Phoenix dactylifera (date palm) is the source of this 842-nucleotide non-coding RNA. NCBI's taxonomy places the organism in Eukaryota, Viridiplantae, Streptophyta, Magnoliopsida, Arecales, Arecaceae. The record is from RefSeq and is a predicted model, not a curated record.